CUACGGGCUGCUCCAGUAGGGAAUAUUGCCCAAUGGACGAAAGUCUGAGGCAGCAACGCCGCGUGCGCGAUGAAGGCCUUCGGGUUGUAAAGCGCUUUUACGAGGGAAGAGAAAGGACGGUACCUCGUGAAUAAGGAUCGGCUAACUACGUGCCAGCAGCCGCGGUAACACGUAGGAUUCGAACGUUAUCCGGAUUUACUGGGCGUAAAGCGCGUGCAGGCGGUUUGGUAAGUUGGAUGUGAAAGCUCCAGGCUCAACCUGGAGGGGUCGUUCAAUACUGCCAGACUAGAGGACGUAGAGGGAGGUGGAAUUCCGGGUGUAGUGGUGAAAUGCGUAGAUAUCCGGAGGAACACCAGUGGCGAAGGCGGCCUCCUGGGCCGUUCCUGACGCUCAGACGCGAAAGCUAGGGUAGCGAACGGGAUUAGAUACCCCAGUAGUC
RNAcentral lists this ribosomal RNA (439 nucleotides) under uncultured bacterium. Its description in RNAcentral is "partial 16S ribosomal RNA". It matches the Rfam family "Bacterial small subunit ribosomal RNA", at positions 339 to 795 of the family's 1533-position model. The record is from RNAcentral.